Zingiber officinale is the source of this 690-nucleotide long non-coding RNA. RefSeq lists it as uncharacterized. NCBI's taxonomy places the organism in Eukaryota, Viridiplantae, Streptophyta, Magnoliopsida, Zingiberales, Zingiberaceae. The record is from RefSeq and is a predicted model, not a curated record. The transcript is spliced from 4 exons.
UCUUCUUUCCCCAAACGCCAAUCCCGAUCCUUCUCCCUUCUUCCUCUCUUCUUCCCGAUCUCUCUAUGUUCUCUCUCGCGGGCAAGCGACGGCGACGGGAGCAAGGCUCCAGCUCCGGCGAUCCUUCUCCGCUGGCGUCGACGCCUAUUAAUCUCAGAUCCGGGCUGGUGUUCUUUCCUCUCCUCACUGUUGCCGAUCAUUUCUCAAGCCCUAACCUCUCAAUCGAUGGCCGACCAUCGCCCUUCAUGAGGUCGAGUUAGCAGCGCCUGAGGUACACGCGGUGCCCUAGUUUAGAUCUUGUAGUGGGAGCGAUUGAUUCCAAUCUGUGUCUCCUCAAGUUGGAUCGGAUAGGGCGACACCUCCUAGAGGCAACUGAUCGAGAGGUAUCCGGUUGGUGGACAGCAGCUGGAUUAGGGCAGUGAGGUGAGGUGCUGUUUUGGUGGAGUAUUUGCUUGAUUCCGGCCACCACAUCCCUGUCAACAAAUUGGCACAUCUGAGGCAAGUGGUCUUCCUGUUGAUGAUGUCUUAAUCCGGUCCAGUGAGGAUGAAUUCCAGUAUCUUGCUGUGGUGUUCUUUGAUCCAGUGAUAAUACCUUGUGUGGAUCAACAGAAGGGAGGGCUAAGCGUGAGGACUCUGAUUCGAGACAGGCAUCUCGACGUUGGAUUUGGCGUGAUACUACCUGCUCUUUGA